CUACGGGGUGCUGCAGUGAGGAAUUUUGCGCAAUGGGGGAAACCCUGACGCAGCAACGCCGCGUGAGCGAAGAAGGCCUUCGGGUCGUAAAGCUCUGUCAAGUGGGAAAAAAAUUCUUUGAUGAACAGUCAAAGGACUUGAUGGUACCACUGGAGGAAGCACCGGCUAACUCCGUGCCGGCAGCCGCGGUAAUACGGAGGGUGCAAGCGUUGUUCGGAAUUACUGGGCGUAAAGAGCGUGUAGGCGGUUUGACAAGUCAGAUGUGAAAGCCCCGGGCUCAACCCGGGAAGUGCAUUUGAAACUGUUUCACUAGAGUAUGGGAGAGGAGAUUGGAAUUCCUGGUGUAGAGGUGAAAUUCGUAGAUAUCAGGAGGAACACCCGUGGCGAAGGCGAUUCUCUGGACCAAUACUGACGCUGAGACGCGAAAGCGUGGGGAGCAAACAGGAUUAGAUACCCUGGUAGUC
RNAcentral lists this ribosomal RNA (464 nucleotides) under uncultured bacterium. RNAcentral's name for it is "partial 16S ribosomal RNA". It matches the Rfam family "Bacterial small subunit ribosomal RNA", at positions 339 to 795 of the family's 1533-position model. The record is from RNAcentral.